AUGAUGUUAAGGAACCAGAUUUCAAAUAAACAGAUCAUAGUUGAAGAGAAAUAUGAUUAUCUACCACAAGACAAUACGUUGACCGAUCAUGAUCUAUGUGCUCAUAUGGCAAUAGAAUCAUCUUUCAGAAAACAAUUGUUGGUUCAGAUCGAUGGAAGUUCUGUGUUACAAAAUCAGUUGAUGUGUCUGCUAGAUGAAAAAGAGUGGAUAAAUGAUAAUGUGAUCAAUGCAUAUAUAUGUUGUAUGAAGGAACAAAUACAUGUCCAGAAUGACAAUAAAGUAUAUUUGAAGAUAUGA
Molecule: ribosomal RNA, 297 nt
Filed under: Triticum aestivum (bread wheat)
Lineage: Eukaryota; Viridiplantae; Streptophyta; Magnoliopsida; Poales; Poaceae
Description: partial small subunit ribosomal RNA
Source: RNAcentral